RNAcentral lists this transfer RNA (72 nucleotides) under Camelus bactrianus (Bactrian camel). It matches the Rfam family "tRNA". From Rfam's summary of the family: Transfer RNA (tRNA) molecules are approximately 80 nucleotides in length. Their secondary structure includes four short double-helical elements and three loops (D, anti-codon, and T loops). RNAcentral also lists the same sequence under 2 other names. The record is from Rfam by way of RNAcentral. Lineage: Eukaryota; Metazoa; Chordata; Mammalia; Artiodactyla; Camelidae.
AGGGGUAUAGCUCAGUGGUAGAGUGUGUGCCUAGCAUGCAUGAAGUCCUGGGUUUGAUUCCCAUUCCCUCCA